UAAACACAUGUCAACCUCUCCUUCACUUUACUAACGUGUUCAACAAAGAAGGGGUCCACGACCUCUUUCCUCCCUCUUCUCUCUUCUGCAGGUCAAAGCAACCAGCCAAAUUCCUAUCCCCAAUUCUUUCCCUUUCCUACCCGUCUUCUUCUUCUCUCCUUCUUUCCUUCUCUGCAAAACUACUUCACCUCAUCCCAGAAUUCAAAAUUCAAAAUUUAAAAGUUAAACUCUCUCUCUCUCUCUCUCUUAUUUACCAUGAACGAACACACAAAUGCUAUGACUUUUCAUCUUCAUUUUAGAGUGAUCCAUGGUUGGAUGUUCUUCAAGAACAGGUUUGUAUGUCUCAUCAACAGUCAGAUCUGCAUCAAUGUUAGGUGUUUUCGGUAGAGAUGGAAUUCCACCACUGAUCGGUGCCUGAUUUGGUGGGGUUAAACCCGUACUGCAGCGACAUAUCAGAUUCCAGUCAAGCCUAGGGUUCCGGCGACCCCUGUUUCAUCUGUUCAAAAACCCUUUUCCCAACGCGUUUUCUUCAUAUCUUUGCUUUUCUUCGUUGUUUUUGACGAUUUCGUUUACAUAUUCGUGUAGAUCGUUCUUUGAUCUACGUUUUGUGUAUGGAUUUUAUGUGUUUUGAUGAAACUUUUGUCAACGAUCAUUGUGGUUCUUUAUUGGUGGUCUUGUGAUGGUUGUGGUGAAGCAUUAGAGAAGAAAAGAAAUUGUUGCUGGGGAAGAGAGUAUGUUGAUACAUUCUGUACUAAAAUUGUGGGUUGUGGGUUGAAUUUUUUAUAAGAAUUUUUUAUGGUAAUUCCAUUAUAACUUGAUACAUUCUGUACUAAACUUGAUGCAAAUAUGUACUAAAACUGUGGGUCUGUUUGUGGUAAAGUGGGUGUUGUUUAAGGGCCUCAAUCAGUUUUCAUUUCACUUUUAUGAUUAUUUGAAUGUUAAGAUUAUUUGAUUUUUGUUAACCUGACAUAGAAUUUGGGUUUGAAGUUCAUUUGAAAUUGAAGUGAUCUAAUUGUUAGUUUAUUUUUUAGUAAUUAGCGCUUAAAUUUUUUAACAUCUGUCUCAUUUACGCGGUGUCUUUUACUCUUCAGAGUAGAGCAAACCCUAAUUUCAUCCACUACCACAUUGGCCACUUGCUGUUCCCCUCUUUUCCUUCACCCGGAACCCUAAAAUUGCUAGCCGCUUUGUUCUUCUUUCGGAUCUUUAUGAUACUGCACAAAUCGGGUUGAAUCUUCGCUUGAUCUCCUAAAAUCAAUGCAUAAAUCUAUCAUGGCUCCUCUUCAAUCGUCAAUUUCUCUUCAAUCAUCAAUUUGGUAUGUUACUUGCCUGCUUUUCAUUUUAGAUGAUCUUUCUUUAUGGUUUUGUAUGGUGGAUCCUUUUGUUGUGAGAGUAGACCCUUUAAUUGAAGAACUUGUGACACAAAAUUAGAGUAAGAAAGGGGUUGACAGGUCGCUUUGUAACACCCUCAUCAAAUCCUUAAUCAGGUAUGUUUUUUUGGUAAGAAGUAGUUUUGAUUGUUAUUGUGGAUAAUUCGCUUAGAUUCAUUUAUUCAGAUGAUUUUAAUAUCUCUUUAUAAUUCGAUAAUUGAUAUGAGAUUUUUGUAUUGUUUGUUUCAGGAUUUCAAGAUACGGGUUUAAUUAAAAAUGCAAUCUUCAUAUCGUUAUUUAGAUCAUAUGAAAAAGAUACUUCUAGGAGUGUUUAGACGCAUCUUUGAAAUUACUAUGUUGACUUUUACAGUGAUAAAUGAUCAGAUAAUUAGAUUAUCACUUGCUUGAAGCAAGGACACUUGUAUUUUUACAAUUCUUAAUUGUAUGUAGGUAUGAUGCUUAUUCACCUUAGUGGCUAAAGGGAAUUGUGGGGCAAAGGGUAUAUGGCUUUGCUAUAUAAAUAUUUUUUAUACAAAGAUAGUACAUGUGCGGACAUGUUUAUUGACCUGACAUGGAACCGGGUAUUUAAAAAAACCCGAUUUGUGCACCUCUAACUGUAAGUAAUGUAAAUGGCCCAAAAGAGAAUUAUUUUUUAUCACAAUUCUCUUUGUUAGUCUGUAGAAGUAUUUCACUAUUAUAUGUAAUAAAUUAUUUUAUUGAUAGGUAUUCUAUAUAAGUUAUGGUUUAUACUUCUUUUUUAAUAUUUUAACCGAGUUUGUAAUGUUGGAAACGAAGGAUAGUUUGCAGAGAAUGGGAUAGCUGCCCACCGCACUCGGGGGUGACACCAGGAAUUCCGGCACUUGAACUACCCAACCUCAAGUUUGGAGGAAUGCGAGAUAAAGUUUGGACGUCUGAAGGUUUUCCGUAUCCAUACAAAGAAGAUGAAGCUUUCUGAUGAUCUUUCAGGUUUGGUCCUUCACCAACGGGUUUAUGAGGGUUCUUCAACUUUCGGUACGGAGGAAACACAAAGAAGAGGUUGAUACAGCCCGUAUACACAAGGUUAUGUAAUUGUUUACCCAAAGCCCUCUAUCAUAAACCUGCUCGAUUCUCAACUGGGGGUUUAUGAUGUAUCAUUUUAAUAUUAGUUCUUUCUGUUCAAAUUUGUAUAUCGUGCUAAUUUAGAAGUGAUUGUAGGUUCAAGUACAAAAUAAGAUAAACGGAGAAGCCGAAUAAUUUCGGCAGUGGAAAUCAUCACGUGAAAAAGAAGGCAACUAAAUAAUGGAGGAGAAACGAGUAUGAAUGGCACAAAUUCCAGGUUCUUAAUCAAUCCAAAAAAUGAACCUUAGGUGUUUUAAAGGAUUAGAGAAGAGGCUCCACCUGCAACCCAAAAGUUAAAAGACUUGCUAGAAGCCUGGAAGUUUACAAGUACACAGGGAUAUAAUUUUUUUUGACCGAAUAACAUUUUCAGUCCAUGUGGUUCCAGCAACCAAUUUUUAAAGGACAGUGGCGAUAUUUUGUAAUUGAGAUAUGGUGUAUUACAUUGACUAGCAGUGGGGAUGGAGCAAAUGAACAUGUAUACAACUGAAUAUUAAAGGACAAUGGUGAUAUUUUGAUAUAUCCCGACGUUAUCAAAUGUAAUAUGUAAUUUUAUCAACCUAUCAUUAUAUGUGAAUCAUGGUUUUAUGUUCU
Helianthus annuus (common sunflower) is the source of this 3056-nucleotide long non-coding RNA. RefSeq lists it as uncharacterized. The record is from RefSeq and is a predicted model, not a curated record. The transcript has 5 exons. NCBI's taxonomy places the organism in Eukaryota, Viridiplantae, Streptophyta, Magnoliopsida, Asterales, Asteraceae.